UACAGAGGUGGCAAGCGUUGUUCGGAAUUACUGGGCGUAAAGGGCGCGUAGGCGGUCUUGCAGGUCCCGUGUGAAAUCCCUCGGCUCAACUGAGGAAUGGCACGGGAAACUGCUUGGCUUGAGUUCGGGAGAGGGAAGCGGAAUUCCGGGUGUAGCGGUGAAAUGCGUAGAUAUCCGGAGGAACACCGGUGGCGAAGGCGGCUUCCUGGACCGACACUGACGCUGAGGCGCGAAAGCUAGGGGAGCAAACGGG
RNAcentral lists this ribosomal RNA (253 nucleotides) under uncultured bacterium. RNAcentral describes it as "partial 16S ribosomal RNA". It matches the Rfam family "Bacterial small subunit ribosomal RNA", at positions 524 to 776 of the family's 1533-position model. The record is from RNAcentral.